Molecule: long non-coding RNA, 3114 nt
Organism: Gadus morhua (Atlantic cod)
Lineage: Eukaryota; Metazoa; Chordata; Actinopteri; Gadiformes; Gadidae
Source: Ensembl
GGAUUUCACAGCUUGGCCUUUCGUUUCCCACCGACAGUGGUUAGGUGCCUACUUCACGGUCAUCAGGCCGCUCUACCUGUCGUGGCAAGGGGAAGCAGCGGACGACAAGGGCUGCUUCUUCCUGGGGACCACAGGACGUCCCGUGGCCAAUCCCAGGUCCGAUUUGCGCCGUCUCUGGAGGCGCUGUCGGAAGAUCUGCGAGGCAGCGGGCCCGACUCCGCCGCCCCUUACGGCAGAGGCCGCUGGGACGUCUUCCCGGGACACGAGUUCUGUGUCGGGGAAGGGGUCGCGUGACGACCAAUGGGACGCUUUCGUCAGUGAAUUCCCCGUGACGAUAGGUGCCCUCGCGCCCUCCAAAGAGGACCAUGACGGUGCCGGGUUUGGCGAUGAACGGACGCACUACUUCAAAUGGAGGCGCUUCCAGUUGGAAAAGCGUGUGCUACACGUCGCCGGUAGGCACCGGCUUUGUCUUUGUCAAACAGAUACUGUGUGCCGUCUGUGAAGAGCUGCCUAGUGUCUCGCUAUGACUGCAUCUCCUUUCCCCAUAGCCAGUGCGUCUCACCGACUCGCAUACACAACGCCUCACUCGCUCACUCCCAGUCUCACUAACUCACUGCCUGCCUCACUCACUAACUCACUGCCUCACUAACUCGCUCCCUCUGUUCUUACCAGAUUCCGCUGGCAGGCAGCGACCGACGGAGGCCAAGGUGGCAGCCGUUGUAGCCAAGGAGAGAUGGAAAACCAAUGUCCCCUCCCUCCCGGAUGUGCUCGAGGCGUGGGUCUCCCCUUUAAAGGCAGCCAUUGAGGACGACGAAGGCGUCCUCAAGUCAGUGGUGGAGCAACGGUGGAAGGGGAUCGAUUUCAAGGACUUUGGAGAACACAAGGGCAGAGGCGUCAUUGCCACCGUGCCGUUCUCCAAGGGGGACGUGAUAUGCGACUAUCACGGAAAGCUCAUCUCUGAAUCCGAGGGGAAGAGGCUGAUGGAUGCAAUGCAGGAGGGAGUGAUGUGCUACCUCUUUUUCGUCAGGGGCAGGCUAGGCACCAAGCUGUGCGUCGACUCCCAGAACUUCCCCUGCGAGUGCCACCCUGGAAAGGACGCCUUUGGUAGGCGCAUGAACCACUCGGGCAAGGCGUCCAAUGUGAAGCCUGUGGUGUUCCAGUUGAACUUUCCAGACGGAGCCAAAGACGCUGUCCUCUUCUUGGCCCAGAGAAACAUAGCUGUCAACGAAGAGCUCCGUUGGGACUAUGGUGUGAGACGGGAGGUCUUUCGGAGAUGAGGGCAUGGACCUGGCAUGGCUCGGAUGACUGAAACGAUUCUCUUUGGUUCAUUGUGUUCUCAUUUGUUGUUGCCGGUUAUUGCUGUUCUUCUUGUUGUUGUUGUUUGGUGUCAUGUUUUUAAUAAAUGUUUUUGCUACAAAGGACAACGCCUUGAAUAGACUGACUUUAUUAAUCCCCGAAGGAUGUGAAAUAAUUCAAGUCUUCAUGUUAACAUUACAUUGACAUAGAGUGGGUGCCAGAAAAAGUGAAAAACACGACAGCUCUCGUUUAAGGGCUUAAACUUUGAGCUACUGCAGGAAAAGGGCAUGCAUAAAACGUGCACUGCAUGUGAAACAUUCCGUAAUGAUAUAUGGGACGAUUGCAAUCACCAGACAUGAGGAUGAACAAAUGUAUUGCCACAUAAGCAGCUACAAGAAAAAACAAACAAACAAAUUAAUAAAUGAAGGAGUGAAUGAAUAAACAAGUAAAUGUUUAAGAUGGAGACAAAAGGGGGCCACUCUGCCCUUUUGUGGAAUAGUUUGGACAUGCCUACAGAAUAAAAAACAAACGGCAUGUCCACGAUGAAACACAGAAGCACUUUACUUCUGCUAACAAUAGUCUUUGGGUUCCAUUGAUUGCAUUUCCAUUUGAUUUGAGGUCAAAAUGGCUGCUCUUUUCAAAAUGGCUGCUCUUUGAUGGUUUGAGUGUCAGACUAAUGGUUGUUACUUCAUGAGGUGGGUACAGUGGUUUGUCUCGUCUACUUGAUGGAGGUAAGUGACCACGGAUCAAAACAGUUUAUGCCUUAAAGUCUAGGGCCCACUGCUAAAGAACAAGGACAUACUCCUUGAACACCUAGAGCUUUGACACUGUGUGUGUGUGUGUGUGUGUGUGUGUGUGUGUGUGUGUGUGUGUGUGUGUGUGUGUGUGUGUGUGUCCAACUGGAAAAACAAAGUGAAGGAACAGGAAUCAUUAUUGUGUGUGAAUAUAAUAGAUUUGAUAUGUUGUAUUGAGAUGCAUUUUACCUACUUUUCUUUCACAUUCAUAGACUACAUCCUGACUUGCAUAAAUAAAUAAUAUAAUAAACGAAAUAAUAAUAAACGGAUGACGGUUAGGGGCCGCUUCUGCCAUCUGGUGGCUGCUGAGGGGACCUCAACGGACGACACUUAGGAUUUGGCUGUGCAAAGCUGCUACAGACAGCAGCAUAUGUGAUGCCCGACUGGAUAUCUCGGCGGGUGAAGGUCGCACGGACUCGGGCUUGGCACCGUUGGAAAGCUGCUUCCCCCUUUGGGGGGGGUGCGUCUGCCUCCCGUUUCUCUAGCACCUUGCUGUCAAAAGAUAUCCACCGAAAACGGUCUGCACCCCGGUGCACUUCGGUUAAAACCCCCUAACCCUAACCCUAACCCUAACAGGCUCAUUACCUAUACGGCCCUGAUCUCCCUCGAGCGAGGUUAUUUUACCUUCUCCCUAAAAUACAUAAACCCCCAGAAACUUGGACCGUUCCCUUCGUGAUUCCUCCAGGACGCCCUAUAGUCAGCGACUGUGGCUCCGAAUCAUAUCACCUGGCGGAGUUCAUAGACUACUAUAUUAACCCCCUAUCCCACACCCACCCGAGCUACCUGAAGGACACCUACACAUUUGUAAACAAAUUAAAGAAUCUUACCGUCCCUGAUAACACGUUUAUCUUUUCCAUCGACGUCGACUCCCUGUAUACGAACAUCGACACUGUUCUGGGCCUCGAGGCUGUUAAGAAAGCAUUGGCUUUAUCACCUGAUCCAUCUCGUCCCGACACAUUUAUUUUAAAGUUUUUAGAAAUUACCCUUACCCGCAAUGACUUUUUGUUUGAUAAAGCCUUCUUCC